Molecule: ribosomal RNA, 301 nt
Filed under: uncultured bacterium
Lineage: Bacteria
Description: partial 16S ribosomal RNA
Rfam family: Bacterial small subunit ribosomal RNA
Source: RNAcentral
CAGCAGCCACGGUAAUACGAAUGGUGCAAGCGUUACUCGGAAUUACUGGGCGUAAAGCGUGCGUAGGUGGUGGUUUAAGUCUGCUGUGAAAGCCCUGGGCUCAACCUGGGAAUUGCAGUGGAUACUGGAUCACUAGAGUGUGGUAGAGGGAUGCGGAAUUUCUGGUGUAGCAGUGAAAUGCGUAGAGAUCAGAAGGAACAUCCGUGGCGAAGGCGGCAUCCUGGGCCAACACUGACACUGAGGCACGAAAGCGUGGGGAGCAAACAGGAUUAGAUACCCCUGUAGUCCCUGUCUCUUAUAC